This 479-nucleotide ribosomal RNA is filed under the name Leifsonia sp. HE105C. Its description in RNAcentral is "bacterial SSU rRNA". It matches the Rfam family "Bacterial small subunit ribosomal RNA", at positions 38 to 525 of the family's 1533-position model. The record is from RNAcentral. Lineage: Bacteria; Bacillati; Actinomycetota; Actinomycetes; Micrococcales; Microbacteriaceae.
UCAGGGGCGGCGUGCUUACCAUGCAGUCGAACGAUGAACCAGGAGCUUGCUCUUGGGAAUUAGUGGCGAACGGGUGAGUAACACGUGAGUAACCUGCCCUUGACUCUGGGAUAACCUCCGGAAACGGAAGCUAAUACCGGAUACGACGUACGGAGGCAUCUCCUGUACGUGGAAAGAACUUCGGUCAAGGAUGGACUCGCGGCCUAUCAGGUAGUUGGUGAGGUAACGGCUCACCAAGCCUACGACGGGUAGCCGGCCUGAGAGGGUGACCGGCCACACUGGGACUGAGACACGGCCCAGACUCCUACGGGAGGCAGCAGUGGGGAAUAUUGCACAAUGGGCGCAAGCCUGAUGCAGCAACGCCGCGUGAGGGACGACGGCCUUCGGGUUGUAAACCUCUUUUAGUAGGGAAGAAGCGAAAGUGACGGUACCUGCAGAAAAAGCACCGGCUAACUACGUGCCAGCAGCGGCGGGUAAUA